RNAcentral lists this ribosomal RNA (404 nucleotides) under Actinomycetes bacterium. RNAcentral's name for it is "Actinobacteria bacterium partial 16S ribosomal RNA". It matches the Rfam family "Bacterial small subunit ribosomal RNA", at positions 355 to 776 of the family's 1533-position model. Lineage: Bacteria; Bacillati; Actinomycetota; Actinomycetes. The record is from RNAcentral.
UGGGGAAUAUUGGACAAUGGGCGCAAGCCUGAUCCAGCCAUGCCGCGUGAGUGAUGAAGGCCCUAGGGUUGUAAAGCUCUUUCACCGGUGAAGAUAAUGACGGUAACCGGAGAAGAAGCCCCGGCUAACUUCGUGCCAGCAGCCGCGGUAAUACGACGGGGGCCAGCGUUGUUCGGAUUUACUGGGCGUAAAGCGCACGUAGGCGGACUUUUAAGUCAGGGGUGAAAUCCCGGGGCUCAACCCCGGAACUGCCUUUGAUACUGGAAGUCUUGAGUAUGGUAGAGGUGAGUGGAAUUCCGAGUGUAGAGGUAAAAUUCGUAGAUAUUCGGAGAAACACCAGUGGCGAAGGCGGCUCACUGGACCAUUACUGACGCUGGGGUGCGAAAGCGUGGGGAGCAAACAGG